This 239-nucleotide ribosomal RNA is filed under the name uncultured bacterium. Its description in RNAcentral is "partial 16S ribosomal RNA". It matches the Rfam family "Bacterial small subunit ribosomal RNA", at positions 94 to 334 of the family's 1533-position model. The record is from RNAcentral.
AGCGGCGGACGGGUGAGUAACGCGUGGGUAACCUGCCUCAUACAGGGGGAUAACAGUUAGAAAUGACUGCUAAUACCGCAUAAGACCACAGCACCGCAUGGUGCGGGGUAAAAACUCCGGUGGUAUAAGAUGGACCCGCGUUGGAUUAGCUAGUUGGUGAGGUAACGGCCCACCAAGGCGACGAUCCAUAGCCGACCUGAGAGGGUGACCGGCCACAUUGGGACUGAGACACGGCCCAA